AGUGAACGCUGGCGGUAGGCCUAACACAUGCGAGUCGAACGGCAGCACAGUAAGAGCUUGCUCUUACGGGUGGCGAGUGGCGGACGGGUGAGGAAUACAUCGGAAUCUACUUUUUCGUGGGGGAUAACGUAGGGAAACUUACGCUAAUACCGCAUACGACCUACGGGUGAAAGCAGGGGAUCUUCGGACCUUGCGCGAUUGAAUGAGCCGAUGUCGGAUUAGCUAGUUGGCGGGGUAAAGGCCCACCAAGGCGACGAUCCGUAGCUGGUCUGAGAGGAUGAUCAGGCACACUGGAACUGAGACACGGUCCAGACUCCUACGGGAGGCAGCAGUGGGGAAUAUUGGACAAUGGGCGCAAGCCUGAUCCAGCCAUACCGCGUGGGUGAAGAAGGCCUUCGGGUUGUAAAGCCCUUUUGUUGGGAAAGAAAAGCAGCAGGUUAAUACCCCGCUGUUCUGACGGUACCCAAAGAAUAAGCACCGGCUAACUUCGUG
This 492-nucleotide ribosomal RNA is filed under the name uncultured bacterium. Its description in RNAcentral is "partial 16S ribosomal RNA". It matches the Rfam family "Bacterial small subunit ribosomal RNA", at positions 29 to 507 of the family's 1533-position model. The record is from RNAcentral.